RNAcentral lists this ribosomal RNA (253 nucleotides) under uncultured bacterium. RNAcentral's name for it is "partial 16S ribosomal RNA". It matches the Rfam family "Bacterial small subunit ribosomal RNA", at positions 524 to 776 of the family's 1533-position model. The record is from RNAcentral.
UACGUAGGGUGCAAGCGUUGUCCGGAAUUAUUGGGCGUAAAGAGCUCGUAGGCGGUUUGUCGCGUCUGCUGUGAAAACUGGAGGCUCAACCUCCAGCCUGCAGUGGGUACGGGCAGGCUAGAGUUCGGUAGGGGAGACUGGAAUUCCUGGUGUAGCGGUGAAAUGCGCAGAUAUCAGGAGGAACACCGGUGGCGAAGGCGACUUCCUGGCCUGUUCUUGACGCUGAGGCGCGAAAGCUAGGGGAGCAAACGGG